AGUGAAUAGAUACCCGGGUAGUCCACGCCGUAAACGAUGGAUGCUAGCUGUACGGAGUAUCGACCCUCUGUGUAGCAAAAAAGCUAACGCGUUAAGCAUCCCGCCUGUGGAGUACGAGCGCAAGCUUAAAACAUAAAGGAAUUGACGGGGACCCGCACAAGCGGUGGAGCGUGUUGUUUAAUUCGAGGAUAAGCGAAGAACCUUACCCAGGUUUGACAUCCUACUAAGGUUUCCGAAAGGAAACUGUGCCUUCGGGCCGUAGUGACAGGUGAUGCAUGGCCGUCGUCAGCUCGUGUCGUGAGAUGUUUGGUUAAGUCCAUCAACGAGCGCAACCCUUAUAGUUAGUUGGAUUUUUCUAGCUAGACUGCUCCGGAAACGGGGUAGGAAGGAGGGGAUGAGUCAGGUCCGUAUUUCCCUUACAUCUGGGGCUACAAACACGCUACAAUGGCCGGUACAAAGGGCUGCCAACCCGGCAAGGGGGUAGCGAAACUCCCAUCAAAGCCGGUUCUCAGUUCGGAUUGUAGGUCUGAAACUCGCCUGCAUGAAGCUGGAAUCGCUAGUAAC
RNAcentral lists this ribosomal RNA (564 nucleotides) under uncultured bacterium. RNAcentral describes it as "bacterial SSU rRNA". It matches the Rfam family "Bacterial small subunit ribosomal RNA", at positions 774 to 1342 of the family's 1533-position model. The record is from RNAcentral.